Molecule: transfer RNA, 76 nt
Filed under: Desulfoluna butyratoxydans
Lineage: Bacteria; Pseudomonadati; Thermodesulfobacteriota; Desulfobacteria; Desulfobacterales; Desulfolunaceae
Also listed under: 36 other names
Description: tRNA-Phe
Rfam family: tRNA
About the family: Transfer RNA (tRNA) molecules are approximately 80 nucleotides in length. Their secondary structure includes four short double-helical elements and three loops (D, anti-codon, and T loops).
Source: RNAcentral
GCCCAGGUAGCUCAGUCGGUAGAGCAGGGGACUGAAAAUCCCCGUGUCGGUGGUUCGAUUCCGCCCCUGGGCACCA